Molecule: ribosomal RNA, 1420 nt
Filed under: Canadian peach X phytoplasma
Lineage: Bacteria; Bacillati; Mycoplasmatota; Mollicutes; Acholeplasmatales; Acholeplasmataceae
Description: 16S ribosomal RNA
Rfam family: Bacterial small subunit ribosomal RNA
Source: RNAcentral
CUAAUACAUGCAAGUCGAACGGAAACCUUCGGGUUUUAGUGGCGAACGGGUGAGUAACACGUAAGCAACCUGCCCUUAAGACGAGGAUAACAAUUGGAAACAGUUGCUAAGACUGGAUAGGAAAAGUAAAGGCAUCUUUACUUUUUUAAAAGAUCUUCUUUGAAGGUAUGCUUAAGGAGGGGCUUGCGACACAUUAGUUAGUUGGUAGGGUAAAGGCCUACCAAGACUAUGAUGUGUAGCUGGACUGAGAGGUUGAACAGCCACAUUGGGACUGAGACACGGCCCAAACUCCUACGGGAGGCAGCAGUAGGGAAUUUUCGGCAAUGGAGGAAACUCUGACCGAGCAACGCCGCGUGAACGAUGAAGUACCUCGGUAUGUAAAGUUCUUUUAUUAAGGAAGAAAAAAGAGUGGAAAAACUCCCUUGACGGUACUUAAUGAAUAAGCCCCGGCUAAUUAUGUGCCAGCAGCCGCGGUAAUACAUAAGGGGCGAGCGUUAUCCGGAAUUAUUGGGCGUAAAGGGUGCGUAGGCGGUUUAAUAAGUCUAUAGUUUAAUUUCAGUGCUUAACGCUGUUGUGCUAUAGAAACUGUUUUACUAGAGUGAGAUAGAGGCAAGCGGAAUUCCAUGUGUAGCGGUAAAAUGCGUAAAUAUAUGGAGGAACACCAGAGGCGUAGGCGGCUUGCUGGGUCUUUACUGACGCUGAGGCACGAAAGCGUGGGGAGCAAACAGGNNNNNNNNNNNNNNNNNNNNNNNNNNNNNNAUGAGUACUAAGUNUCGGGUAAAACUGGUACUGAAGUUAACACAUUAAGUACUCCGCCUGAGUAGUACGUACGCAAGUAUGAAACUUAAAGGAAUUGACGGGACUCCGCACAAGCGGUGGAUCAUGUUGUUUAAUUCGAAGAUACACGAAAAACCUUACCAGGUCUUGACAUUUUCUUGCGAAGUUAUAGAAAUAUAAUGGAGGUCAUCAGGAAAACAGGUGGUGCAUGGUUGUCGUCAGCUCGUGUCGUGAGAUGUUAGGUUAAGUCCUAAAACGAGCGCAACCCUUGUCGUUAGUUGCCAGCAUGUAAUGAUGGGGACUUUAACGAGACUGCCAAUGAAAAAUUGGAGGAAGGUGGGGAUUACGUCAAAUCAUCAUGCCCCUUAUGAUCUGGGCUACAAACGUGAUACAAUGGUUGAUACAAAGAGUAGCUGAAACGCGAGUUCUUAGCCAAUCUCAAAAAAUCAAUCUCAGUUCGGAUUGAAGUCUGCAACUCGACUUCAUGAAGUUGGAAUCGCUAGUAAUCGCGAAUCAGCAUGUCGCGGUGAAUACGUUCUCGGGGUUUGUACACACCGCCCGUCAAACCACGAAAGUUGGCAAUACCCCAAAGCGGUCACCUAACUUCGCAAGAAGAAGGAUCCGUCUAAGGUAGGGUCGAUAA